UACGGAAGGGAGCAGUGGGGAAUAUUGCACAAUGGGCGCAAGCCUGAUGCAGCCAUGCCGCGUGUAUGAAAAAGGCCUUCGGGUUGUAAAGUACUUUCAGUCGUGAGGAAGGUGUUAAGGUUAAUAACCUUAGCAAUUGACGUUAGCGACAGAAGAAGCACCGGCUAACUCCGUGCCAGCAGCCGCGGUAAUACGGAGGGUGCGAGCGUUAAUCGGAAUUACUGGGCGUAAAGGGCACGCAGGCGGUUAAUUAAGUUGGAUGUGAAAUCCCCGGGCUUAACCUGGGAAUGGCAUUCAAGACUGGUUAGCUAGAGUCUUGUAGAGGGGGUAGAAUUCCAUGUGUAGCGGUGAAAUGCGUAGAGAUGUGGAGGAAUACCGGUGGCGAAGGCGGCCCCUGGACAAAGACUGACGCUCAUGUGCGAAAGCGUGGGGAGCAAACGAGGAUUAGAUACC
RNAcentral lists this ribosomal RNA (453 nucleotides) under uncultured bacterium. RNAcentral describes it as "bacterial SSU rRNA". It matches the Rfam family "Bacterial small subunit ribosomal RNA", at positions 340 to 786 of the family's 1533-position model. The record is from RNAcentral.